This is a long non-coding RNA of Phyllostomus hastatus (greater spear-nosed bat), 2031 nucleotides long. RefSeq lists it as uncharacterized. The record is from RefSeq and is a predicted model, not a curated record. NCBI's taxonomy places the organism in Eukaryota, Metazoa, Chordata, Mammalia, Chiroptera, Phyllostomidae. The transcript is spliced from 3 exons.
GGAGGGCGGGCGUCCCUGCCCGGAGGCUGCACCGCCAGCUGCGGGGCGGAGCCCGCUGCCCGGUGGCUCUGAGGUCAUUGCCACCUUCUGACUCAGCUCUGAGAAAUGAGUCCCUCGUUUUUAAUGUUGCUGGGAACUCUCUUCCCUGGGGAUUCAUCGCAGAGCCCAGACGCGAACACUCGCAAGUGCGGCAGGCCUUACCAUGGCAGGGAUGCUGAUACCAAAUGGCCCAAGAGUGCCCGGUUCCUGGGCUCGUCAGACCCCAAUUCUAGAACAUGGAUUUAUCAAGUGUCUGCAGCGGGAUUAUGACGUUCAACAGAUGGUUUCUCCUCUCCAGUGCUGGACCCCCAGAUACUAUGUGUAACGUCUCAAAUAAUGGAUUCUGGUUGCUUACAAAUAGCUAACUAUCGUGGGUCCUUGGAAGUUAACAUCCAUGUCAUAAUUUCUUCCCUAAUCCGUAUCCAGUCACCAAUGGCAUCUAAUAUUUGUUGUCUCUUCCCCUUCUUCCUCUGGAAAACUGGCCUAUGUGAACCUGCCUUGGCUUGCAAGGCAGUGAGAUGACAGAAGUACCCAGUGAUGAGUUUUACAACUGCAAUGACACAAGUUACCCAGAGCUAAACAGCUGGUUUUUAAAGAGCCCUUCUGAGUUUGAUGUCGGGGACCCACUGCCAGGGAAGCAUCUGAGGAGUUAAGUCCACCUUGUGCGGUCCUUGCCCAGUCCCAGACUGUCCUCUGGCAUAGAACACCUGCACACAGCAAAGGAGUUUGGAGUUGCCUAUCUGGGCACGAGGGGAAGACAGACCCAGCUGCCACAGGUGAUCCAAAAGCCCUCUGUUCUCCACGACUGACUUCAUGACUUCACUUCCGCCCGCCUUUGGAUGAGCUCACCUGUUUUGUUUGGCCAGGAUUUUAUCUGCGUGGGAGCUCUGCUCAGCAGGUCAGCCAGCCCCAGCCUCGGCGGUUAAACAGCGGGCCACACCAAGGGCGGUAAACGCUGUCUUGGAGCAUCCUUCUCCCAGGGAGAUGUAUCAUGUUCACUGAGCUGCACAGGCUUCUCUCUGACCUACUCCACCACACCUCCACUGCAGUUCGAGACUCUGAGCUCCUGGUGUCUGCCCGGCCUCCAGCCCGUCCUCACUCCAGCUGCACUGCCUGCCAGCCCUGGGUCUUUGUCACCGCCCACUUCACACUCGCCCGCAACCUGGCAUCCACACAGCUGUCUCCAGCGUGCUCACCCCCUUUAUAAUGUAAACACUGAAGUGGUUCUAUUCACGUAAGCCGAAGUGUCCACUGAUAAUUUUGACAAUAUAAAUUUGUACUCAUCGUUAUGAACUGUCAUUAAUAACAUGCACUUUCCUGAAACAUUCAGGAAUUUGGCAGCAGAUGAGAUAUCAGAACUUGCCACUUCUGCAGUUGUUCAGAGCUAUGCAAAUCAUCCUGAACUAGUUAUUAUUGCCCCAAAAAGUGAUUUUUUCUAUUGUUUAAAAUAUUUUAAUGAAAAAUAAUCUAUGAUGAACAACUGCAUUCAAGAUAAAGGGUUGAAAAUACACCGAGUAGAUAUCUCAAUGCAAAGAAACAAACAUCAGAUGGAAGGUACUGAAGUAGCAGAAGGUGAUUAAAUUAUUUGUAUAAGCAAAAAUACUCUGCUUUUACAGAAAAAAGGUAUAUCAGAACAUGUCUCACUUAAAUGAAAAGUCAUUUUAAAAGAGUAACAUAUAGGGUAAAUUGGACAGCCAUGUGCAAAAGAAUGAAACGAGACUGCUAUUUGAUUCCACACACAAAAAUUAACCCCAAAUAGAUGAAAAGACAAAUAUAAGACCUGAAACAAUAAACUAAUAGAAGGAAACAGGUAGUAAAUUUACGGACCUUGGUCUCAGAGAGGGUUUUAUGAACUUGACCCCAAAAGGGAACUAAAAAAAUAAGUGAAUGGGACUAUAUAAAACUAAAAAGUUUCUGCAGAGCAAAAGAGACCAUCAAUAAAACAAAAAGGCAACUAACCUAGUGGGAGAUGAUAUUUGCAAAUAAUACCUU